This 490-nucleotide ribosomal RNA is filed under the name uncultured bacterium. RNAcentral describes it as "partial 16S ribosomal RNA". It matches the Rfam family "Bacterial small subunit ribosomal RNA", at positions 30 to 507 of the family's 1533-position model. The record is from RNAcentral.
AUUGAACGCUGGCGGCAGGCCUAACACAUGCAGGUCGAACGGUAACAGGAAGAAGCUUGCUUCUUUGCUGACGAGUGGCGGACGGGUGAGUAAUGUCUGGGAAACUGCCUGAUGGAGGGGGAUAACUACUGGAAACGGUAGCUAAUACCGCAUAACGUCGCAAGACCAAAGAGGGGGACCUUCGGGCCUCCUGCCAUCGGAUGUGCCCAGAUGGGAUUAGCUAGUAGGUGGGGUAACGGCUCACCUAGGCGACGAUCCCUAGCUGGUCUGAGAGGAUGACCAGCCACACUGGAACUGAGACACGGUCCAGACUCCUACGGGAGGCAGCAGUGGGGAAUAUUGCACAAUGGGCGCAAGCCUGAUGCAGCCAUGCCGCGUGUAUGAAGAAGGCCUUCGGGUUGUAAAGUACUUUCAGCGGGGAGGAAGGGAGUAAAGUUAAUACCUUUGCUCAUUGACGUUACCCGCAGAAGAAGCACCGGCUAACUCCGUG